Gasterosteus aculeatus aculeatus (three-spined stickleback) is the source of this 1089-nucleotide non-coding RNA. The record is from RefSeq and is a predicted model, not a curated record. NCBI's taxonomy places the organism in Eukaryota, Metazoa, Chordata, Actinopteri, Perciformes, Gasterosteidae.
GGAAGAGGAAGAAGAAGAAUCGACCCGUUUCCAGUAACUUCUCCGGACAUUUUGUAGCAACAUUGUUCACUUUUGAUCUCAACUCGUUUUCGUGCAAAUCGCUCCUGGAUUCCUCUAAAGAAGACCAGCGACACUUUGAAUCGGAUAUGAUUUUUUUCUUCUUUAUGUCUUAGUUUUGAACUUUCUGCUCGUUUCCUUCAAAUAAUUCUCCACCAGCUUCGGUGCUUUGCCUCAACACCACCUUCCUCUGGCCUCCACCUUCAGCUUCUUAUCGCAUUUUGUCGCACAGCUGAUUGAGAGAAACUCGUGUUUCUGUUUCUCUUCACGGAGUCGUUGCUUCUAUUCUCGUUAUCUGAUCUGAACCAACUAGUCCAGCUGGUUCCACCCAGCUCGCCUCCAUUUACCCUCCGAGAGAAGCGACCCCACCCUUUAGUUCACCUCCACCCUUUAGUUCACCUCCACCCUUUAGUUCACCUCCACCCUUCAUCCGCAACGCACAAUCCGCCAGAGAAGCGUCCUCAAGCGGAUCUGGAUUCAUAAAAACUCUCUUUUCUUUCACACUUUACUUUUGUGUUUUUUUGUUUCCUCGUGAGUCAAACCGGAGAAACAGGAAGUGAAACUUUCUUCACUUCCUGGUUUCAUCGUCCAGCUUCCAUUCUGCACAAUGAGGUCGUGCGUCGUUCUUCUCUUUGCUUCUCUGCUCACAUUAUGUGAAGCACAAGGAACCAUUGUGACUCCUGUGUUUGUGCUGAAGGGACGUGAUCUGCUCCUCAAGCUUCGUGCUGAUCCUCCUGAGGGGGUUUUAUAUGUUGACUGGAAAAUCAAUAAAACAGUCACUUUAGUAAGAUUUAUACCUGGUGGAGAACCACAUGUCGAUCUACGUUUCACUGGAAGGGUUCAGUUUGGUGAGAAUAAAUUCUCAGUGAUAUUGAAGAAUGUACAAGAGGUCGACAGUGGAGUUUAUUCUGCUGUAGCAGCAACACCUACAGGAGACAAACUACUGACUGAAUACAAGGUCACAGUUCAAGGACCAGUGUCUCCAGUUGAACUGAUCGUGGACCGAGUGGACUCCAGCAGCUCAGAGUCAUG